UUUCAUCACGAUAUGACUGAGAUAUUGCCGGUGUGACGUUAAAUAUUAACUCACUCACUCACUCAAAUUGGUUCAAAUCGGGACUGAGGAGGCCACUGCAUGGUCCGGAUGCCAUUAUGCUUGAGGAAGUCUCUUGUUGCUCUCGCAGUGUAGGCACGGGCGUUAUACUGAAACUUGUGGUUGUGGCGACGACGUGCCAAAUGAGGUAUGACGUGUGGUCUCUAGACUUGAUCAAUGUACUGAGCAGCUGUGACACCUCUCCCUGGAUUGAUGUUCUGGAAUACCACAGGCCCAACUCUGUGCAAGACCCAAUUCCACCCCGCUCCAUGAUGCUAGGGACUCUCAAAAACAUAAGCAUCUGAAUAACGUUCCGCACGGCGUCGCCAGACUCUCACUGUGCAUCUGCUGUUGAGAAACAGUAAUGACUCUGGUCUGAGGAGAGGACCCUUCUCCACUGUUGGUGGCGCCAAUGCAGUUGCUGUGUUGCCCACUGUAGACUAUCUUGACCAUGACGUGGUAUCAGAAUUGGUCCUCGGUGUGGCCUGCUGUGACAGUGGAGGUUACUGCUCGCCAAUUCAACAACGAAUGAAUGUUCUCCAUUCUGGGUGGAUUUUUAUAGGGUAAGAAAUGGGGAAACGCACGUCAUUUCAAUUUGCAUGGAACACACGUGCAUCAAGUUACCACGGUCGUUGCCAUAAUGCAUUUGGGUGAUCGGUUUUAUACUCACCUGCUUUGUUUUUUGUCAUCAAAUGGCAUUUUUCUUGACGAAGGAAUUUUACUUUGAACAUUCUUUGACAACAAUUACUGAGAUAUUUCAAUGACAAAUUUUCAUGCAAUUUUUCUUCAGGUGACGUUUCUUUUGCAGUUCAGUAUAUUUAUCAGUACCAUUAGAUGAUGGUGCCAUCACCAUGAUACAGCCUUUGUUGCAAUUACCAGCAUUCAGUAGUUAUUUUGUUUGAUGUCAUAUUUGACACAUCAGGGGUAUGAUGUCACAUGAACAGCUGAUCCCCCCAUUUCCAUCUGCUCCUCUGACGGUUGUCAGUACUGGAGGCCAGGUCUGCUCCAGAAUCCCCACAAGCUUGAGUUUGGAUGAAGCUGUUAUACAAAGUAUUUCAGAUGUGGAAACAACAUAUAGCCUCCUGUGUAGACUCCUGGAGGAUAGUUCCCAGCUUGUGUGUUUUCUAAACGUCAUUUUGAUUCCUUGGGUGCCAAAUUAUGGUCCUUGGCUUGUAAACGCUGUACGUAUACCCAUGGUUUCCACAAAAGUAGUAAAUGUAUUAGGCUGUCAAACAGCUGCAACCAUGAGACAGGUAAAUAAAAAAACAACAACACAUCAUUAGAGAAGAAUAUCUUUACCGCAUAAUUAGUGAUGGUUCAUUCCAAACACAAAGAGCUGCUGUGAAAUAUAGAUGGUUGAACAGGUUUACCAGUUUGGUAAAAGUGUGUGUAAACAUUGUGUCAGCAAGCAUUACAGGUUCUGUAUUUGUAGUGGUAGUAGGCUCUCCAUCUAGUGUUGGGAAUCGGAAACCAAAUCCACUAUUGAUUAUCGAAGGAUUGUGGUGAACGAAUAUCGAUUAUAACUGAAAUAUAUAUACAUUUGUAAUGUAAUCACCAAUUUUGUGGGGUUUUCCCAGGGUUUUCUUAAUUAAUGAUUUUUAUAACUAAUACUGUCCUACAAUGAAAUGCACGCAUGCAAGAAAGACACUGGAAUUGUAAUUAAACAAUAAAAAUGGUAAACAUUUUACAAUGUGCAUAGCUUUACACUGUUGGACGCAUGUUUGUUCGUGAAUAUUUGUCAAAUUUAAUGGUUAGUUUACUUCAUUCAGGUGCGUAAUACUAAAACGACAAAAUUCAGAUUAAUCGAAAAAAUUGCUUUUACAAUCGAUAAUCAUUUUUUCAAUCCUUCAUUCGAUCAAUUUUCGAUCAUCGGAACACCACUAUCUCCAUUGGAGGAAGAUUUCCUAGAUAUAAUCCCUCUUGUAGCUUAACAAGAUCAUCAUUUUGAAAUGUAUGCUUCAGAACUGACAAACAUGUCUAUCAAUGCAUACAGUCAUACUCUGAGCGAUAUUGUUCAAUGAGAUAUCCAUGUCAAUACAGUAAAAUAAACAAAACAUAAAAAUUCAACAAAUGUAUAAAACUGUGAGAAACCCAUUAGCCACCAAUAAAUCAUGAAAUGGAAACGCUGGCUGUAUGGAACACUUGGACACAACUGGUGUUUGUAUUGCAGAUCCCAUGGGAGCGCACUGUAUCGUACAGGGGAAUUCAUUGCUACCAGCUUCCUAUGGGGAUAAAUCCUUUAUACCAUGGGAGUGCACUGUAUCGUACAGGGGAAUUCAUUGCUACCAGCUUCCUAUGGGGAUAAAUCCUUUAUACCAUGGGAGCGCACUGUAUCGUAGAGGGGAAUUCAUUGCUACCAGCUUCCUAUGGGGAUAAAUCCUUUAUACCAUGGGAGCGUACUGUAUCGUACAGGGGAAUUCAUUGCUACCAGCUUCCUAUGGGGAUAAAUCCUUUAUACCAUGGGAUUCAUAUCAUGUAUUCCCAUAUGAACUUGACCCUUUGUAGCCAUUACUUAUAGCACACUUCACAUUGUUAGCAUGUUCAGAGUAAGGACAAGGUUCUAAUUAAAAAGCUUAUUAUAAUAUAGAUGCGGUAAAUACAGCUGACUAAACACUGCACCAUUAACUCAACCAGACCCACCAUUUGUUCUGUAUAUGUGUCGCUCAACAACUACUUUCAAUUAUCAUCAUAAGCAGUAUCACGGAUUUUCAGCACUGCUAUUAUGAAAUGUAUUCCCAAUGUUUCAGAGGAUAUCAAGAGAGUUAUUCUUGAACGUAACUUAGAUACAAUUGUACAGAUCUACAUCUCAGACCUACUAUGGGAGAUAAAUGUCACCAAUUUCUGAUCUAUUCUUCUUGUUGCCUUGUGCUGAACAUCGAAAACAUCUGACUUUCAAAAGUGAUUAUUAGCUGCAUCAUAAUUAUGCACUUUCUUUGUCAACAUCUCUACACAUAUUCCUCGUACAUGUUGUAGCCUGAGUAUGGUUGCACUGUUUGAGUCCUAUCUGUUAAUAUGCCCGGAACAAGAGAUUUAGUUGCACUGUAACUAACUAGUAAUUCCUUAAACACAUCACAUAACAUCCAACAUUAAACCUCUAACUUCAUGCAGAUAAUACUAAUAAUGUGAGUAUAAGCACACUUGCAGUAUAUUCAGACCAGUUGGCGCCAUGAUACACGGCAUGUCUACAGGGAUCAAUCUAGCACUCCAUGGUGCAUUUCGCUGAUUGUAGCAGCUGGGACAACUAUAUGCCUAUCAACAGCUGAGUCAGGGAUUUCUCUAAAACAGUUCAUAGGCUGGUAUCACGUCUUCAGAAAACUCCAUAGAUUGGAA
Molecule: long non-coding RNA, 3387 nt
Organism: Haliotis rubra (blacklip abalone)
Lineage: Eukaryota; Metazoa; Mollusca; Gastropoda; Lepetellida; Haliotidae
Exons: 2
Source: RefSeq, a predicted model, not a curated record